This 134-nucleotide small nucleolar RNA is filed under the name Sphenodon punctatus (tuatara). RNAcentral describes it as "Small nucleolar RNA SNORD94 (ENSSPUG00000004723.1)". It matches the Rfam family "Small nucleolar RNA SNORD94". Rfam says of the family: The members of this family belong to the C/D class of snoRNAs which contain the C (UGAUGA) and D (CUGA) box motifs. Most of the members of the box C/D family function in directing site-specific 2'-O-methylation of substrate RNAs. Lineage: Eukaryota; Metazoa; Chordata; Lepidosauria; Sphenodontia; Sphenodontidae. The record is from Rfam by way of RNAcentral.
CCGGCAAUGAUGAUUGGCGCAGGGGUACGGACCUCAGCAGAAUCAUGGGAGCUGAAUGUAAACGUUCCUCUGUCCUGCGCGUGGCGGGAUGUCUUGGGACGUUUACAUGAGAAUGGUGCCUAACUCUGAGCCGC